RNAcentral lists this ribosomal RNA (406 nucleotides) under uncultured bacterium. RNAcentral's name for it is "partial 16S ribosomal RNA". It matches the Rfam family "Bacterial small subunit ribosomal RNA", at positions 30 to 526 of the family's 1533-position model. The record is from RNAcentral.
AUUGAACGCUGGCGGCAGGCCUAACACAUGCAAGUCGAGCGAGCGGCGGACGGGUGAGUAAUGUCUGGGAAACUGCCUGAUGGAGGGGGAUAACUACUGGAAACGGUAGCUAAUACCGCAUACCAUCAGAUGUGCCCAGAUGGGAUUAGCUUGUUGGUGGGGUAACGGCUCACCAAGGCGACGAUCCCUAGCUGGUCUGAGAGGAUGACCAGCCACACGGGAACUGAGACACGGUCCAGACGCCUACGGGAGGCAGCAGUGGGGAAUAUUGCACAAUGGGCGCAAGCCUGAUGCAGCCAUGCCGCGUGUAUGAAGAAGGCCUUCGGGUUGUAAAGUACUUUCAGCGGGGAGGCGUUACCCGCAGAAGAAGCACCGGCUAACUCCGUGCCAGCAGCCGCGGUAAUAC